CUGGUCCUUGAUGUGUAGGAUAGGUGGGAGGCUUUGAAGUGUGGACGCCAGUCUGCAUGGAGCCAUCCUUGAAAUACCACCCUUUAAUGGCUGGUGUUCUAACGUGGGCCCCUGAUCGGGGUUGCGGACAGUGUCUGGUGGGUAGUUUGACUGGGGCGGUCUCCUCCUAAAGAGUAACGGAGGAGCACGAAGGUCAGCUAAUCCUGGUCGGACAUCAGGAGGUUAGUGC
This 229-nucleotide ribosomal RNA is filed under the name Klebsiella michiganensis. RNAcentral describes it as "partial 23S ribosomal RNA". It matches the Rfam family "Bacterial large subunit ribosomal RNA", at positions 2124 to 2352 of the family's 2925-position model. Lineage: Bacteria; Pseudomonadati; Pseudomonadota; Gammaproteobacteria; Enterobacterales; Enterobacteriaceae. The record is from RNAcentral.